GGUUUAAAAAACCCAGUUUGAG
RNAcentral lists this unclassified non-coding RNA (22 nucleotides) under Strongyloides ratti. Its description in RNAcentral is "SL1-like trans-spliced leader sequence variant SL1b". The record is from RNAcentral. Lineage: Eukaryota; Metazoa; Nematoda; Chromadorea; Rhabditida; Strongyloididae.